Molecule: long non-coding RNA, 313 nt
Filed under: Brachypodium distachyon (stiff brome)
Lineage: Eukaryota; Viridiplantae; Streptophyta; Magnoliopsida; Poales; Poaceae
Description: long non-coding RNA (BDIS_LNC003675)
Source: RNAcentral
GCAUGAUUUAUUAUUAUUUUUAACAGAACAAAUGUUUUGAACGUAAGGAAUUAAUGUGUUCCUUUUUUUUGGAUAUUUUUUAUAUUUAUUGUGCUGAUCUAACAGAUUUUGAAAAAAAAAGCAUUCGCUAUAUAUAUUCUACUCCCUCCAUUCUUAUGCAAAUCGACGGAGGGCUAUUCCUCUUUGCAAGAGGUAGAUGUCAUACAGAUUGGAAUAUAUUUACUGCUAUCCUUUAGGUCAAUCCUGACAACGAGACGGAGCAACGUCGAGAGCCAUCAGGCUAGCGUCGGAGGUGAUGUCCUCAUCGAUGGCC